UACGUAGGGGGCAAGCGUUGUCCGGAUUUACUGGGCGUAAAGGGCGUGCAGGCGGUUUGUUAAGUGCAGGGUGAAAGCUCCCGGCUCAACUGGGAGAGGUCCUUGCAUACUGGCGAACUCGAGGGAGGCAGAGGAAAGUGGAAUUCCCGGUGUAGUGGUGAUAUGCGUAGAUAUCGGGAGGAACACCUGUGGCGAAGGCGGUCAACUGGCCCUAAACUGACGCUCAGGCACGAAAGCGUGGGGAUCAAACAGG
Molecule: ribosomal RNA, 253 nt
Filed under: uncultured bacterium
Lineage: Bacteria
Description: partial 16S ribosomal RNA
Rfam family: Bacterial small subunit ribosomal RNA
Source: RNAcentral